CCUACGGGAGGCAGCAGUGGGGAAUUUUGGACAAUGGGCGCAAGCCUGAUCCAGCCAUGCCGCGUGCAGGAUGAAGGCCUUCGGGUUGUAAACUGCUUUUGUACGGAACGAAAAGACUCUGGUCAAUACCUGGGGUCCAUGACGGUACCGUAAGAAUAAGCACCGGCUAACUACGUGCCAGCAGCCGCGGUAAUACGUAGGGUGCGAGCGUUAAUCGGAAUUACUGGGCGUAAAGCGUGCGCAGGCGGUUAUAUAAGACAGAUGUGAAAUCCCCGGGCUCAACCUGGGAACUGCAUUUGUGACUGUAUAGCUAGAGUACGGCAGAGGGGGAUGGAAUUCCGCGUGUAGCAGUGAAAUGCGUAGAUAUGCGGAGGAACACCGAUGGCGAAGGCAAUCCCCUGGGCCUGUACUGACGCUCAUGCACGAAAGCGUGGGGAGCAAACAGGAUUAGAUACCCUGGUAGUCCACGCCCUAAACGAUGUCAACUGGUUGUUGGGUCUUCACUGACUCAGUAACGAAGCUAACGCGUGAAGUUGACCGCCUGGGGAGUACGGCCGCAAGGUUGAAACGUCAAAGGAUUGACGGCNGAGAGNGCGACGGACGACGACGAGGGAGGAGG
RNAcentral lists this ribosomal RNA (619 nucleotides) under uncultured bacterium. RNAcentral describes it as "bacterial SSU rRNA". It matches the Rfam family "Bacterial small subunit ribosomal RNA", at positions 338 to 951 of the family's 1533-position model. The record is from RNAcentral.